RNAcentral lists this long non-coding RNA (1262 nucleotides) under Anser cygnoides (Swan goose). RNAcentral describes it as "lncRNA (ENSACDG00005005710.1)". The record is from RNAcentral. Lineage: Eukaryota; Metazoa; Chordata; Aves; Anseriformes; Anatidae.
AUACAUUUUUUUGUUACUUUUUUUUUCUUUUUAAGUAAAACCUCAUGCUAGAGGGUGUUUAUUUAUUUAUUUUUAUUAAGGCACUUCAAUUCUUUAACUUCCUUUAUUUUCAUUGUAAAUAUUUUUUUAUAUAUCUUUAUCUCUGUUCAGAUGAAAAGAAGGAUUUCUAAAAGGUGUCUGGCUUUAGAAUCUGGCCUGCAAAACAGAGCAGAGAUCUAUUGCGUUGAACCAUCAUUCCCAUGAUUCAUCAGAGCAUUAUAUCCAAGAGGAAGCAUGUUGCUCACUUUCAGGUUUAAUCCUUUAAAAUUAAAAUCCUUGCAAUUUAAGAAAUAUUUCAGUUAUAGAAGAGAUAAUCUCUACUGUAGCAGAAAUAUUCCAAGGUACUGUGCUGCUUCAAAAUAAAUAUUUGUCUUUGAUAGAAAUUGCAGGGAGUCAAUGUGGGCUGACUUGGCUAGUGCUGUCCAUUAGAAAAAGGUCUGGAAAACAAAAUACAUUGUUUACUGUAGUUUUCUGGCACUUUCUUUUAAUUUGGUGAAUGAGAUGAAAACUCCAAUAUGCUUACAUUUAUUUUUCUCAUAUAACGUCCAUCCUGACUCUUCAAGUAUGUCUUUGCCUCUUUGAGCAGUCUCUGCUAACAAUCUAUAGAGGGUUAGUGAGCUCUGGGGUCUAGAAGAUCCACUUGUCUCUAGCAGAGCAAAAAUAAUCCAUGAUUCUAGCAGGCUACAGCUUGGAAAAUAGCAAAGACAUGGCAUAGCUCUGUUAAAAUCCUAUUUCCCACCAGUUUGAGUCCCCGAGCUAGUAUCUUUGUGCAAUUCACCCGUGAAUUAGUGCUGCGGUAGCAGAAGAGCCUGCAAGUGCAAAGCACAGGGCAUUGAAGAACUCUAAAAACACAAAUGGGUCUACUUUAUAAAAAAAAAAAAAAAAAAUUAAGAGCCCCUAAUAUAAAUAAUACUGUAUAAGUAAUGAUCAGAAUGUGAAUUUCUAUGAAUGCCUGGCCCUUUGCAAUUCUUGUGGUACUUCAGUGGAGCUGACGAUCUUUAAAGUCCUGCAAAGUUCACAAGGCGGUCAUUUCACGACAUUUAGUCUGAAGAUGAUCUUCGUCCCAUUUUAGACAAAUAUGGAAAAAGGAGGAAACAAAACCACAACUUUGUGAACAAUUCUUGAAGACUCCAUCAGAUCACUGCCAAGUUCCCAGAGCAUCAGUCUGGAUGAAAACAAGACAUAGUACCUCCUUUUUCAUGAAAAAUUUACUUGUAAGGAAA